RNAcentral lists this ribosomal RNA (440 nucleotides) under uncultured bacterium. RNAcentral describes it as "bacterial SSU rRNA". It matches the Rfam family "Bacterial small subunit ribosomal RNA", at positions 28 to 485 of the family's 1533-position model. The record is from RNAcentral.
GACGAACGCUGGCGGCGUGCUUAACACAUGCAAGUCGAGCGAUGAAGUUUCUUCGGAAAUGGAUUAGCGGCGAACGGGUGAGGAACACGUGAAGAAUCUGCCCUCCACUUUGGGAUAACACCGGGAAACCGGUGCUAAUACCGAAUAUUGAAACAUAAGUGGCAUCACUGAGUUUUGAAAGAAUUUCGGUGGAGGAUGACUUCGCGGCCUAUCAGCUAGUUGGUGAGGUAAUGGCUCACCAAGGCAACGACGGGUAGCCGGCCUGAGAGGGCGACCGGCCACACUGGGACUGAGACACGGCCCAGACUCCUACGGGAGGCAGCAGUGGGGAAUAUUGGGCAAUGGAGGAAACUCUGACCCAGCGACGCCGCGUGCGGGAUGAAGGCCUCGGUGUAACCGACUUCAGUAGGGAAGAAGCGAAAGUAGACGGUACCUACAAA